AUGCAGCCAGCCAGCCACAAGAAUAAAGUUCCCUCACACGGAUUUCUGGAGAUAAUACUCCAGAAGCUCUUCCAGAACAGCCGCCCCUUCCCCUGCCACGCAGGCCUGACGGCCGGGCCCCAUUGUCAAUUUUCCUUUCAAAACGCUCUCAAUGAGAUUUUAGUGCUUUCAGAAAAAAAACUAACCGAAAAUCAGUGGUUUUCGGCAAACUUCGACGCAAUUGUGGAGUUCUUUUCUUGCAAUUUUAGUCCCAACAGUCCAAGAUUAUAUUCGAGUGAUUUAUGUGUUAUAGGCCUACUGUGA
Molecule: ribosomal RNA, 303 nt
Filed under: Triticum aestivum (bread wheat)
Lineage: Eukaryota; Viridiplantae; Streptophyta; Magnoliopsida; Poales; Poaceae
Description: partial small subunit ribosomal RNA
Source: RNAcentral